This is a long non-coding RNA of Lycium ferocissimum, 2415 nucleotides long. RefSeq lists it as uncharacterized. The transcript is spliced from 4 exons. The record is from RefSeq and is a predicted model, not a curated record. Lineage: Eukaryota; Viridiplantae; Streptophyta; Magnoliopsida; Solanales; Solanaceae.
AAUAGAUCACAUUCUGCCAUCUUCUACCAUCUUCUCCCCUUUACCAAUCUUCAACCGAUCAGUUUUCUACUGGCUUUGUUUCCUUAUCCGGACAUCUUGGAACAAAUAACAAGAGAAACACUCACCUUAUGCAGAAGUAUUUAAGAGAAGCUUCAGCCCAUUGUUGAGUUCUCUUCAUACAUUCUAAUUUUGCAAUUUCAUAGCUGUUCUGAGCUAAAUCUGAGGGUGUGACUUGAGCAAUUAACCAUAAAGAAACAUAUCAUGUGCCUGGGUAGCAGAUUUCUAUGAUAAAAUAGAGCUUGGAUGGUAGAAGCACCAUAUUUGACUGAAUGGAUACGAAAUAGUAUUGUUCUUCAACUGGGUAUUUUGAGAAUGAUGAUGGGCCUGUUUAUGUAUGCCCAAGUAAGUAUUACUUACAUAUGCACAAAAUGUGUUUGAUUUAUUUUUGUAUGGUGUUUGAAGUUUAUUUUGAUGGUAAUGGUCAUUUUUGAGAUGGUUGCAGUGUUAUUUUCAUUGUCUCCCAGUUCAGAUUUUCUUCUUCAUCUGCGGCAGCUGGUAAAACCAGUGUCCAGGAGAAAGUCAAUGUGCUCACAUAGUAAAGGUACGUGUGGUAAUGGUUUUUUCAGUAUUGAUUUUAUAUUUUGGCCCAAUUCCUUAGAAUGAAGAUACACAGAUUGAUUUGUGCAGAUAUGAACUUUUAUAUUCAUAGAUAUUGCCUUUUCUGUCUUCUUUUACCUUUUUCACUUUUCUUUGUCUGUUUGUGCAUGGAGGGUCUUUGCAUUUCUCUCUUUUCUAUUAUGUUUUGCAUAAAGCUUGAUUCCAUCUCUCUAUCCCUAAUAAGCAGCACAAAUACAUAUUAACAUUGUGGACAAGUCUUACAAUAUUUACAAUGAACAAACUGAAAGAGUAACAACUUCUAAUCAAACACUGUGUUGUGGCGAGUCACUGCCUUGAAAGCGAUUUGAUCCGACUAGGAUGCAAAUUGUUUCGACCGGUCACUCUCCAAUCCGUAAUUGCUCAUUGAACUAUGACAAUUUGUUUUGAAUUGUAAUUCAGGGUUGCAAGCUGGAUUAAGUUCCUAAAUUAUUGAGUUUCUUGUAUCUUAAGUAGCUCUGCAACAAAAUAUUACUUAGUUGUAUAUAAGAAAGUGAAAUUUAAAUAGUGCAACGCUUCUGAGGCUGGAAAAGUGGUCCGGGGGUCUCUAUAAAGGAGUUAAGAUCUUUGAUGUUUGGAUUUUAACUAUUCUGCUUCUAGAAAGGAGCAUUUUCCCCAAAAACUCCAUUUCCAUGAGAGCUUAUUUGUAAAAGACCCCAUUAAGUCUCAUCCAUCACUAUUAUUUUUCGGUUAGUUUCAGCUUCUUGCUAAAAAUUCAUAUGCUUACAUAAAUCUGUGACUCUAAAAAUAUAAAGAACUACGAAAGUUGUAAGUGAGCCUCAUCAUGUUGGGUGAACUUUGUUGCAGGGUAUUUUUUUGUUCGAGUCAUUUUAACUGUCUUGUGUUAAUCUUAAACAACCUUUACGUACUUUGCCCCUGCUUUAUAUGUAUGGAGCUUAGAUAUCAAAGAAUUUACGUUUGUUGUUCUUAAUUUCCAUGUCAACGGAAUAGAUAUUGCGUAUAACAACUGAGAAGGAAAGAUACAUUUCGUGAAUAAGGAAGCUAACAACCGAGAAGGUCCAACAUCCAAAUAUUCUUUAUAUAGUGAAUAUAAAAGAUUGCAGGUUCCGUUUUUUAAUAAAGUCAUAAGGUGCUUCAAAAAAAGAUUCUGUGUUAUAUGUUUCGACUGUUUCUUUGUUUCACUAUAUUUUUGGUGAGUACCAAACUUCAGACAUACAAUUUAGUACUGGCUUCUGAAAAUUGACAUUCCUGAAAAUGCAUCUUAUGGUGGGAAGGUAGAUGGGAUCUUGGCGGCUGAGGACGAUGAUAGCCAAUGACACUGUUAACAGGUAGGUUUUCCUUUAUCAUUAAUAGACAGAACGUCAGAUGAUACUUUCCAAUCAUUUGCCUUGGCAGCCAGGGAUAAAAAAUCUACAUGAAGGAAUUAGAGCAAGUGUAAUACAUCGUGACGUACAAGUUACAACCAAGCAACAAAUUGGUAGAAAUGUUUGAUGAUAAGGUCUCAAGAUUCAAGCCUGUAAAAUUAGAACUUCCUUAGAAGCACUCAAACAUUAGCAGUUAGAUACAAGGCAAUUUGAGUAUUACACUGAUAUCUUGAUGUCUACUGCUAUAAUGUUAUACUAUAGUAGUUUGUUGUUGCUAGAACUGUAACAGAGAAAAGUAGAGGUUAAUCUUACUUAUCACAUUAUUAUUUAUGUAUUGGCUAAGGAGAGUUGUAAGACGUUAUAUUCAGCAACUAACAUGUAAUAUGCAAGAGCAUUUUCCAUUUGAUUAACGAGGAAGAUUGAGGAAGUUGGUAUU